This 380-nucleotide RNase P RNA is filed under the name Nitrospirota bacterium. RNAcentral describes it as "Nitrospirae bacterium (groundwater metagenome) RNase P RNA component class A". It matches the Rfam family "Bacterial RNase P class A". Rfam says of the family: Ribonuclease P (RNase P) is a ubiquitous endoribonuclease, found in archaea, bacteria and eukarya as well as chloroplasts and mitochondria. Its best characterised activity is the generation of mature 5'-ends of tRNAs by cleaving the 5'-leader elements of precursor-tRNAs. Cellular RNase Ps are ribonucleoproteins. Lineage: Bacteria; Pseudomonadati; Nitrospirota. The record is from RNAcentral.
CAAGUCGACCGGAUGGCCGCCGGUGCCGCUCGCGGCACGGGAGGAAAGUCCGAGCUCCACAGAACGGGGUGCUGGGUAACGCCCAGGCGGGGCAACCCGACGGAAAGUGCCACAGAGAACAGACCGCCAGCGGCCCCUCUCGGGGGGUGCGGGCAAGGGUGAAACGGUGGGGUAAGAGCCCACCGCUCCGCCGGUGACGGCGGGGGCACGGUAAACCCCACCCGGAGCAAGACCAAAUAGGGAAGCGCUACCAGGGCUGUUCGCCCGAUGCUUCCGGGUUGGUCGCUAAAGGGCCGGGGCAACCCGGUCCGUAGAUAGAUGGUCAUCCCCCCUCCGCCCUUGGUGGGGGACAGAACUCGGCUUACAGGUCGGCUUGGGCC